Dioscorea cayenensis subsp. rotundata (Guinea yam) is the source of this 107-nucleotide small nucleolar RNA. The record is from RefSeq and is a predicted model, not a curated record. Lineage: Eukaryota; Viridiplantae; Streptophyta; Magnoliopsida; Dioscoreales; Dioscoreaceae.
AUUCCAUAUUGUGGGCAUUUCCUCAACAUUUCCCUGCACAUCUCCUAAUUUUCAUAUAAGGAUUCAUAUUCUAAUUGCACAAAGGAUGAAAUAUCACUCCUCAGCUU